AUCAUGACUGGGGCGAAGUCGUAACAAGGUAGCCGUAGGGGAACCUGCGGCUGGAUCACCUCCUUAACGGA
Molecule: ribosomal RNA, 71 nt
Filed under: Gemmatimonadaceae bacterium
Lineage: Bacteria; Pseudomonadati; Gemmatimonadota; Gemmatimonadia; Gemmatimonadales; Gemmatimonadaceae
Description: partial 16S ribosomal RNA
Rfam family: Bacterial small subunit ribosomal RNA
Source: RNAcentral